Long non-coding RNA from Vidua macroura (Pin-tailed whydah), 440 nucleotides. RefSeq lists it as uncharacterized. The transcript is spliced from 3 exons. The record is from RefSeq and is a predicted model, not a curated record. NCBI's taxonomy places the organism in Eukaryota, Metazoa, Chordata, Aves, Passeriformes, Viduidae.
GGGCUUCUCCGCUGGGAUUAUGCAGGAGAGCGUGACGAAGGUGAUGCGUCAUGACAUGGACACCUCUUCACUAAAAGCAGGCCAUGCUCACCCAGUCAGUUCAGAGAGCACCAAGACAACCCCACUGCUCCACUGUGGUCCUCCUCAAGCAUCAAGGACUGUGGGGAGACCUUCAGAGGUGAUUUCACCCAUGAGUCACGGAACAGACAUCUCAUACCCACAACUGUCAUUUGGAAACAGGCUCACCAGACCUUCCACCCCAGAUUAGUCAAGUCAAAGUCCUGGCCAUUUCUUCACCUGUAACAACUCACUAAGUACUUGUAAAAUCUCAGCCUUAAUGGAGAGGAAAGUCAGGAAAGGGUCUUGGAGAGGAAGUUAAUGAAGAGGCUGCAAGGGAAAUGAAGUCCCCAACUAAGCCGAGGAAGGUCCUUUUCUCCAGA